This 302-nucleotide long non-coding RNA is filed under the name Salmo salar (Atlantic salmon). RNAcentral describes it as "lncRNA (ENSSSAG00000100225.1)". Lineage: Eukaryota; Metazoa; Chordata; Actinopteri; Salmoniformes; Salmonidae. The record is from RNAcentral.
CUCAAAGUAAAAGACUGCUUUCACAGUGACCAACAAAACCAAUCCUCAAGGUAAAAGACUGCUUUCACAGUGACCAACAAAACCAAUCCUCAAGGUAAGAGAGACUGCUUUCACAGUGACCAACAAAACCAAUCCUCAAGGUAAAAGACUGCUUUCACAGUGACCAACAAAACCAAUCCUCAAGGUAAAAGAGACAGAAAACAACUUUGUGGAGGGAUAAAGUUACUCAGACCUAUUAUUGACCAUUCAGAAGAAGCUGAAUCCAAUGUAGGAAGGAUUUCUGUGUGCAUGUGGUGGAUGGG